Molecule: small nucleolar RNA, 88 nt
Organism: Cornus florida
Lineage: Eukaryota; Viridiplantae; Streptophyta; Magnoliopsida; Cornales; Cornaceae
Product: small nucleolar RNA snoR14
Exons: 1
Source: RefSeq, a predicted model, not a curated record
ACGAGGUGACGAAGAAAUUCAUUGGUCUGUCAAUCCACCGACUUUGUGUGAUGUUAAUCACGAAUCCUGACAGGUUCUAUAUAUAUGU